AUUGAACGCUGGCGGCAGGCCUAACACAUGCAAGUCGAACGAGUGGCGGACGGGUGAGUAAUGUCUGGGAAACUGCCCGAUGGAGGGGGAUAACUACUGGAAACGGUAGCUAAUACCGCAUACCAUCGGAUGUGCCCAGAUGGGAUUAGCUAGUAGGUGGGGUAAAGGCUCACCUAGGCGACGAUCCCUAGCUGGUCUGAGAGGAUGACCAGCCACACUGUAACUGCGACACGUUCCAGACGCCUACGGGGGGCGGCAGUGGGGAAUAUUGCACAAUGGGUGCAAGCCUGAUGCAGCCCUGCCGCGUGUAUGAAGAAGGCCUUCGGGUUGUAAAGUACUUUCAGCGGGGAGGCGUUACCCGCAGAAGAAGCACCGGCUAACUCCGUGCCAGCAGCCGCGGUAAUUC
This 406-nucleotide ribosomal RNA is filed under the name uncultured bacterium. RNAcentral describes it as "partial 16S ribosomal RNA". It matches the Rfam family "Bacterial small subunit ribosomal RNA", at positions 30 to 526 of the family's 1533-position model. The record is from RNAcentral.